Molecule: ribosomal RNA, 460 nt
Filed under: uncultured bacterium
Lineage: Bacteria
Description: partial 16S ribosomal RNA
Rfam family: Bacterial small subunit ribosomal RNA
Source: RNAcentral
CCUACGGGGGGCAGCAGUGAGGAAUAUUGGUCAAUGGGCGAGAGCCUGAACCAGCCAAGUCGCGUGAAGGAUGACGGCCCUCCGGGUUGUAAACUUCUUUUGUCAGGGAGCAAUUGGGUCCACGCGUGGGCUUAGCGAGAGUACCUGAAGAACAAGCAUCGGCUAACUCCGUGCCAGCAGCCGCGGUAAUACGGAGGAUGCGAGCGUUAUCCGGAUUUAUUGGGUGUACAGGGUGCGUAGGCGCAAUAUCAAGUCAGCGGUAAAAAUUCGGGGCUCAACCCCGUCGUGCCGUUGAAACUGAUGAUCUUGAGUGGGCGAGAAGUAUGCGGAAUGCGUGGUGUAGCGGUGAAAUGCAUAGAUAUCACGCAGAACUCCGAUUGUGAAGGCAGCAUACCGGCGCCCAACUGACGCUGAAGCACGAAAGCGUGGGUAGCGAACAGGAUUAGAUACCCGUGUAGUC